ACUAUGAUGAGCAUGAAACUAGUGCCAAGAAAUUCAUUCAACGCGAUCGUUUUCAAACGACCUUCACUGCUUGUGAUUAUAAGAUUGUAACUAUUAGGUGAAACUCCCUCAUAAUCUAGCAUCAUAUUCAUGCAUGAAAACUAAGCGUGCACUCUCAAUCAACAUACACAAAUAAGUUAUCAAUCAAGUAGAUGAACGAAUUGAAUCCGCAACUUAUGAAAUAACAACUUAAUGUAAUCAAAUCAUAUUGCAAGCAUGUACAUGGUUUCGAAUCACCCCCAACUAAGGGGGUUUAGUUCCUCAUUCUUGCAAUACAAAGAUACAU
Molecule: long non-coding RNA, 325 nt
Filed under: Malus domestica (apple)
Lineage: Eukaryota; Viridiplantae; Streptophyta; Magnoliopsida; Rosales; Rosaceae
Description: long non-coding RNA (MDOM_LNC009148)
Source: RNAcentral